CCUCGGGCUCCUCUGCAGAGCUGGCACCUCUCAGACGCCGUCUGCCUCCUCCAUGAUGGGUGCUGAGAAGGGGAAGACCUCCUGCAGCAGGGUUUAACUUCACCUCCACGGUGCCCCGGAGCCUCCUGGCUACCUACCGUAUGAGGGGAAGAUGUAGCUGAAGACAGCCCUGAGCUCGUGGUCAGUGGUGAGACCGUCCACCACCUCCUUCAGGCUGCGCGAUGUCAGCUGGAAGAAGGGGCUGAGCCGCGGCAGCAGCCCCGAGCGGCACAGCAGCGUUGCCAGCGCCCGGGGGAUCAUUUUCAGGAAGCCCAACAGCACGGUCCUGCCGCUGACGCUCUGCGGGAGGGGAGGCUGUCGCUGAGCAUCCGCUGCCAGGGGUCUGCAGCCAACCCUGGUGUGGGCUCGAGAGAUGCUCAAAAGCAUCUUUUUCCCCUUAAAUUUACUACUUGGCUGGCAGAGAGGCGACAGCAUCUCUUAAGCACCACAUCCCAGGGAGCUGUGGCCAAGGGGAGCAUCCGCCCCCCCAAAAAAAACCUCCCCUGCAGCGGAGGCCUCCCACCUUUGCAGUGGUUUCAAGGCAUGUGUUAAUUAAUGCUAAUUUAGCACUGUUUUGAUGAUUGCAAUGACUCCGCCAGCUGGCGGGACCCAGACCAUCAUCCCACAGCACUUGGCAGAGGGGCUGUCUGGGCUCACAGGGGUCCCAGCGCAUCCCACGGGACCACAAGCAUCCGUGGGGAGUGGGCUUAAAACUCUGGGUGCGACACUGAGGUUUUGAGGCAGAAAAGGGAGAUUUUUUGGAUGUGUUUCCCAAUGCUUUUGGGGUCGGGCAGGGAUGGGUUGUGCAAAGCCGUUAUUCUCUGCAGUUGCCCGAUACCUGGGUGUUUGGGGGGGGGGCAUUUCCCCUCCUCACAUGACCCCGCAGAGAGGGACCAGAGCCAAAACCACCCCCCAUCCCAUCCCCGCGGCAAAGCCGAAGCUCCCAUCUACCUUCACCAGCCGCUCAAACUCAUCAAUAGCAGCCCCCUCCCUGGGAAACUGCUCCUUCAAGCCUUGGAAAUAUUCCUUCUUCCCCGAAUAGAUGCGAUACGUUCUGCCGCCGCCUGGCUCCCCCAAAACCACGGCAUCGUAGACAGCUGGCAGCCGAGCCCACUCCAGCUGCCCCUCCGUCAGCUGGUCCAACAUGAAGCGGACGAUGGAGCCCUCCUCCAUCUGCCCCACAUAGUGGAUACCUGGACAAUGUAUUUUUCGUUUAUUUUAGGGUUUUUUUUCCCUUUUUCACACCCCACCCUGUACCCCUGGGAUGCACAGCACCCUCCUUUUAUUCCUCUGCCCCCUCAGCAGCUCCCUGUGGAGGGGAAAGGGAAAAGAUGGGAAACAUCCACCCCACCACUCCAGGCUGAAGGGAAACCAAGCGCUCGCCGCUGGUUUUUAAGCAGCUUUUGAGAUUUUUUAUUAGCCAUUGAUAUUUUUUUGCCCUCUCUGUUGCUGUAAAUAAUUAAUCCCGUGCAACUCGA
Molecule: non-coding RNA, 1517 nt
Organism: Phalacrocorax carbo (great cormorant)
Lineage: Eukaryota; Metazoa; Chordata; Aves; Suliformes; Phalacrocoracidae
Source: RefSeq, a predicted model, not a curated record